RNAcentral lists this ribosomal RNA (484 nucleotides) under uncultured bacterium. RNAcentral's name for it is "partial 16S ribosomal RNA". It matches the Rfam family "Bacterial small subunit ribosomal RNA", at positions 28 to 507 of the family's 1533-position model. The record is from RNAcentral.
AUUGAACGCUGGCGGCAUGCUUUACACAUGCAAGUCGAACGGCAGCGCGGGCUUCGGCCUGGCGGCGAGUGGCGAACGGGUGAGUAAUGCAUCGGAACGUGCCCCGUAGUGGGGGAUAGCCCGGCGAAAGCCGGAUUAAUACCGCAUACGACCUGAGGGUGAAAGCGGGGGACCGAAAGGCCUCGCGCUAUUGGAGCGGCCGAUGUCGGAUUUGCUAGUUGGUGGGGUAAAGGCUUACCAAGGCGCCUAUCCGGAGCUGGUCUGAGAGGACGACCAGCCACACUGGGACUGAGACACGGACCAGAGUCCUACGGGAGGCAGCAGUGGGGACUUUUGGACAAUGGGGGCAACCCUGAUCCAGCCAUGCCGCGUGCGGGAAGAAGGCCUUCGGGUUGUAAACCGCUUUUGUUAGGGAAGAACUCCUCUGGGCUAAUACCCCGGGGGGAUGACGGUACCGGAAGAAUAAGCACCGGCUAACUACGUG